This 391-nucleotide ribosomal RNA is filed under the name uncultured bacterium. Its description in RNAcentral is "bacterial SSU rRNA". It matches the Rfam family "Bacterial small subunit ribosomal RNA", at positions 29 to 410 of the family's 1533-position model. The record is from RNAcentral.
AACGAACGCUGGCGGCAUGCCUAACACAUGCAAGUUGAGCGAUAACCGGGGGCUUGCUCCCGGGGACAGCAGCGCACGGGUGAGUAACGCGUGGAUAACGUGCCCUAGGGUUGAGGAUAACCCACCGAAAGGUGAGCUAAUACUGAAUGUGUUUCUUUAAGGUGCGCCUUGAAGAAAGAAAGCGGGGGCAACCCGCGCCCAAGGAUCGGUCCGCGUACCAUCAGUUUGUUGGUGGGGUAAUGGCCUACCAAGACUACGACGGUUAGCUGGUCUGAGAGGAUGAUCAGCCACACUGGGACUGAGACACGGCCCAGACUCCUACGGGAGGCAGCACGUGGGGAAUAUUGGUCAAUGGCGAAAGCCUGAACCAGCAAUGCCGCGUGAGUCGAUG